GCACCUUAUCCAAGAAAGACCGUUGCCUCUCGUUUAAGAUUUUUAACCCAUCAUCAUAUCAUCUUAUCAUCCUCCAUUCAUCUUCCUCUUACUGUUUGUGUAAGCAUGGCUUCCACCACACUGCCCUCUAUAGCCCCUUCGCAGCUAUGUUCUAGGAGGAGUGGGGUACUGUGCCCCUCAUCGUCAUGUUCAAGGAAAGAGGUGAAGAUUGGGAAGGGAAAAGGGAUGAGAGUGGUAUGCAUGGCGACGAGUAUUCCAGCUGACAGAGUACCUGACAUGGGGAAGAGACAGCUCAUGAAUCUUCUCCUCCUUGGAGCUGUUGCACUCCCCUCUACUGGAAUGCUCAUUCCUUAUACCUAUUUCUUCGUCCCUCCUGGUUCAGGAUCUGCUACUGGUGGUACUGUUGCAAAGGAUGCACUUGGAAAUGAUGUGCUUGCAGAGCAAUGGCUCAAGGCGCAUGGACCUGGUGACCGUACACUUACACAAGGAUUGAAGGGAGAUCCAACGUACCUUGUGGUGGAGAAAGACAGAACACUGGCAACAUAUGGGAUUAAUGCGGUGUGCACUCACCUUGGUUGUGUGGUGCCGUGGAAUGCAGCGGAGAACAAGUUCAUCUGCCCUUGCCAUGGAUCUCAGUAUAAUGACCAAGGAAGAGUUGUCAGAGGACCUGCUCCUUUGUCUCUGGCAUUGGCGCAUUGUGAUGUGGAUGAUGGGAAGGUGGUGUUUGUUCCAUGGGUUGAGACUGAUUUCAGAACCGGUGACGCUCCCUGGUGGGCUUAGACUACUCUCCUUUCAUUCUCACACCUGCCACAUACACAUAUCAUAUGUAAUCUAUAAUUCAAACUCUAUCUCUUCUUCUAUUCAUAUAUAAACAUGCUAGUAUAUAUAACAUAAGAAGGAACCUCAUAAUUCUUCUCUUGCAUGUCUUCUUCACUUCUCCUGGAUGCCAUUUCCGUCUCUGAAUUUCUCCCAAUUUAUAUAUUAAACUUUGU
This is a non-coding RNA of Arachis ipaensis, 992 nucleotides long. Lineage: Eukaryota; Viridiplantae; Streptophyta; Magnoliopsida; Fabales; Fabaceae. The record is from RefSeq and is a predicted model, not a curated record.